This 506-nucleotide ribosomal RNA is filed under the name uncultured bacterium. RNAcentral describes it as "partial 16S ribosomal RNA". It matches the Rfam family "Bacterial small subunit ribosomal RNA", at positions 30 to 523 of the family's 1533-position model. The record is from RNAcentral.
AUUGAACGCUGGCGGCAGGCCUAACACAUGCAAGUCGAACGGUAGCACAGAGGAGCUUGCUCCUUGGGUGACGAGUGGCGGACGGGUGAGUAACGUCUGGGAAACUGCCCGAUGGAGAGGGAUAACUACUGGAAACGGUAGCUAAUACCGCAUAACGUCGCAAGACCAAAGAGGGGGACCUUCGGGCCUCUUGCCAUCGGAUGUGCCCAGAUGGGAUUAGCUAGUAGGUGGGGUAACGGCUCACCUAGGCGACGAUCCCUAGCUGGUCUGAGAGGAUGACCAGCCACACUGGAACUGAGACACGGUCCAGACUCCUACGGGAGGCAGCAGUGGGGAAUAUUGCACAAUGGGCGCAAGCCUGAUGCAGCCAUGCCGCGUGUAUGAAGAAGGCCUUCGGGUUGUAAAGUACUUUCAGCGGGGAGGAAGGGGUUAAGGUUAAUAACCUUAGCCAUUGACGUUACCCGCAGAAGAAGCACCGGCUAACUCCGUGCCAGCCGCCGCCGUAA